RNAcentral lists this ribosomal RNA (897 nucleotides) under uncultured beta proteobacterium. RNAcentral describes it as "bacterial SSU rRNA". It matches the Rfam family "Bacterial small subunit ribosomal RNA", at positions 8 to 901 of the family's 1533-position model. Lineage: Bacteria; Pseudomonadati; Pseudomonadota; Betaproteobacteria. The record is from RNAcentral.
AGAGUUUGAUCAUGGCUCAGAUUGAACGCUGGCGGCAUGCCUUACACAUGCAAGUCGAACGGCAGCACGGGAGCAAUCCUGGUGGCGAGUGGCGAACGGGUGAGUAAUAUAUCGGAACGUGCCCAAUCGUGGGGGAUAACGCAGCGAAAGCUGUGCUAAUACCGCAUACGAUCUACGGAUGAAAGCGGGGGAUCGCAAGACCUCGCGCGAAUGGAGCGGCCGAUAUCAGAUUAGCUAGUUGGUGGGGUAAAAGCUCACCAAGGCGACGAUCUGUAGCUGGUCUGAGAGGACGACCAGCCACACUGGAACUGAGACACGGUCCAGACUCCUACGGGAGGCAGCAGUGGGGAAUUUUGGACAAUGGGCGCAAGCCUGAUCCAGCAAUGCCGCGUGCAGGAUGAAGGCCUUCGGGUUGUAAACUGCUUUUGUACGGAGCGAAACGGCUCUUCCUAAUACGGGGGGCUAAUGACGGUACCGUAAGAAUAAGCACCGGCUAACUACGUGCCAGCAGCCGCGGUAAUACGUAGGGUGCGAGCGUUAAUCGGAAUUACUGGGCGUAAAGCGUGCGCAGGCGGUGAUGUAAGACAGAUGUGAAAUCCCCGGGCUCAACCUGGGACCUGCAUUUGUGACUGCAUCGCUAGAGUACGGUAGAGGGGGAUGGAAUUCCGCGUGUAGCAGUGAAAUGCGUAGAUAUGCGGAGGAACACCGAUGGCGAAGGCAAUCCCCUGGACCUGUACUGACGCUCAUGCACGAAAGCGUGGGGAGCAAACAGGAUUAGAUACCCUGGUAGUCCACGCCCUAAACGAUGUCAACUGGUUGUUGGGUCUUUGCUGACUCAGUAACGAAGCUAACGCGUGAAGUUGACCGCCUGGGGAGCACGGCCGCAAGGUUGAAACU